AAUGAACGUUGGCGGCGUGGAUUAGGCAUGCAAGUCGAGCGCGAACUGUAGCAAUACAGGGAAAGCGGCGAAAGGGAGAGUAACACGUAGGUACCUACCCUCGGGUCUGGGAUAGCUGCGGGAAACUGCAAUUAAUACCGGAUGACGUCUCUGGACCAAAGGUGUGAUUCCGCCAGGGGAUGGGCCUGCGUCCUAUUAGCUAGUUGGUGGGGUAAUGGCUCACCAAGGCAAAGAUGGGUACGGGUGUGAGAGCAUGCCCCCGCUCACUGGGACUGAGACACUGCCCAGACACCUACGGGAGGCAG
This 305-nucleotide ribosomal RNA is filed under the name uncultured Planctomycetota bacterium. Its description in RNAcentral is "bacterial SSU rRNA". It matches the Rfam family "Bacterial small subunit ribosomal RNA", at positions 29 to 351 of the family's 1533-position model. The record is from RNAcentral. Lineage: Bacteria; Pseudomonadati; Planctomycetota.